Molecule: ribosomal RNA, 333 nt
Filed under: uncultured Cercozoa
Lineage: Eukaryota; Cercozoa
Description: SSU rRNA
Rfam family: Eukaryotic small subunit ribosomal RNA
Source: RNAcentral
GAUUUCUGGCGAAACUGCUAGCUGGCCCGCCACGUCAGUGUGUGAGUGCCGGCUUGGCGUUUGCCAUCCGUUCGAAUGAUAUGUAUACUGCCCUUCACUGGGUUGGUAUUUUCAUGUUUUCGAUCUUUUACUUUGAAAAAAUUAGAGUGUUUCAAGCAGGCAUUUUUGCUAUGAAUACAUUAGCAUGGAAUAAUAAUCUAGGACUUUCGGUUCUAUUUUGUUGGUGUUCUGGAGCUGAAGUAAUGAUUGAUAGGGAUAGUUGGGGGUGCUAGUAUUCAAUGGCCAGAGGUGAAAUUCUCGGAUUCCUUGAAGACUAACUUAUGCGAAAGCAUU